RNAcentral lists this long non-coding RNA (1209 nucleotides) under Citrus sinensis (sweet orange). RNAcentral's name for it is "long non-coding RNA (CSIN_LNC001189)". The record is from RNAcentral. Lineage: Eukaryota; Viridiplantae; Streptophyta; Magnoliopsida; Sapindales; Rutaceae.
CUGAAGUUGCUGAGUGUACUGUUGAAUAAGAAGGUCUGCAUACUGCUCGGGGGUGUAUUGACGACCGGUUGAAUAAUAGAGGGGCUGGAAGUAGUUGUUGAGGUAGUCGUUGCUGCCUAAUCCGAUUGAGUAUAUGCAUCGGCUCAGGUAAUUUGCAGCUUGAUCUUCAUUUCCUAGUAAGUUCACUACUUGCUGAACCGUGUUUUGGUAAUUCUUUACCUGCCCACUAAAACUGAUUCGAUCUCCCUGAAAUUUAAUAAUGCAUGUGCAUGUAUGUAUAACAUUAGUUAAUUCAGGAUUCACUUCAUCAGUUGAUGCAUGUCACAUGUUAUUACUAAAACCUGUAUGUACAAAUAUAAAUAUAAUGAAAUGUGCACAUGAUGAUACAAAUAUUUCUAAUUUGAUUAAUUAAUUAAAUUAAAGUUACCAUAGCGUGCGGGAUUGGCUGUAAUAUCUUGGAAAAUCCCAUAAGCAUUGAUGUAGAUAAACUUGGCAUCAGAAUUGUUGUUGUUGAAUUGAUCCACGAGGCCUCUGAGCUUGUUAUUGAAUAUUACGUUUGCGUCAUUCACUCUCUUCACACAAGUUCUCCCAUCUGGACUGUUUUGAGCCAAUUGAUUUGGGCUGCACCCUAUCUGUCCCACUCCAAUCAACACAAAUUUCCUUGCCCCAUAGUUGUAAAACGCCUAUAUUAUACACAUAUUCAUUCACGAUUCAUCAGUACUUAAUUAUUUGAGAAUUCAUAAUGGAAAAAAAAGGGGUCUGAGCGACUCAGGUACCUGAAGUUGCUGAGUGUACUGUUGAAUAAGAAGGUCUGCAUACUGCUCGGGGGUGUAUUGACGACCGGUUGAAUAAUAGAGGGGCUGGAAGUAGUUGUUGAGGUAGUCGUUGCUGCCUAAUCCGAUUGAGUAUAUGCAUCGGCUCAGGUAAUUUGCAGCUUGAUCUUCAUUUCCUAGUAAGUUCACUACUUGCUGAACCGUGUUUUGGUAAUUCUUUACCUGCCCACUAAAACUGAUUCGAUCUCCCUGAAAUUUAAUAAUGCAUGUGCAUGUAUGUAUAACAUUAGUUAAUUCAGGAUUCACUUCAUCAGUUGAUGCAUGUCACAUGUUAUUAUUAAUUAUUUGUUGAUAUGAAAUGGACAUUAUUAAAGUUCAUAUAUGCAUGCAUGCAUUAAAUAAAUAAAUUAACUAAUUAAUGGGAUUGAUUAUUUUC